RNAcentral lists this ribosomal RNA (406 nucleotides) under uncultured bacterium. RNAcentral describes it as "partial 16S ribosomal RNA". It matches the Rfam family "Bacterial small subunit ribosomal RNA", at positions 30 to 526 of the family's 1533-position model. The record is from RNAcentral.
AUCGAACGCUGGCGGCAGGCCUAACACAUGCAAGUCGAACGAGUGGCGGACGGGUGAGUAAUGUAUGGGAAACUGCCUGAUGGAGGGGGAUAACUACUGGAAACGGUAGCUAAUACCGCAUACCAUCAGAUGUGCCCAGAUGGGCUUAGCUAGUUGGUGGGGGAACGGCUCACCACGGCGACGAUGCCUAGCUGGUCUGAGAGGGUGACCAGCCACACUGGAACUGAGACACGGACCAGACUCCUACGGGAGGCAGCAGUGGUGAAUAUUGCACAAUGGGCGCAAGCCUGAUGCAGCCAUGCCGCGUGUAUGAAGAAGGCCUUCGGGUUGUAAAGUACGUUCAGCGGAGAGGCGUUACCCGCAGAAUAAGCACCGGCUAACGCCGUGCCAGCAGCCGCGGUAAUAC